Molecule: ribosomal RNA, 484 nt
Filed under: uncultured bacterium
Lineage: Bacteria
Description: partial 16S ribosomal RNA
Rfam family: Bacterial small subunit ribosomal RNA
Source: RNAcentral
AUUGAACGCUGGCGGCAUGCUUUACACAUGCAAGUCGAACGGCAGCGCGGGCUUCGGCCUGGCGGCGAGUGGCGAACGGGUGAGUAAUAUAUCGGAACGUGCCCAGUAGUGGGGGAUAGCUCGGCGAAAGCCGGAUUAAUACCGCAUACGACCUGAGGGUGAAAGCGGGGGAUCUUCGGACCUCGCGCUAUUGGAGCGGCCGAUGGCAGAUUAGCUAGUUGGUGGGGUAAAGGCCUACCAAGGCGACGAUCUGUAGCUGGUCUGAGAGGACGACCAGCCACACUGGGACUGAGACACGGCCCAGACUCCUACGGGAGGCAGCAGUGGGGAAUUUUGGACAAUGGGCGAAAGCCUGAUCCAGCAAUGCCGCGUGUGUGAUGAAGGCCUUCGGGUUGUAAAGCACUUUUGGCGGGAACGAAAAGGACUGUGCCAAUACCACGGUUCGAUGACGGUACCCGCAGAAUAAGCACCGGCUAACUACGUG